This 213-nucleotide unclassified non-coding RNA is filed under the name Pseudomonas saponiphila. Its description in RNAcentral is "Pseudomonas sRNA P29". The record is from RNAcentral. Lineage: Bacteria; Pseudomonadati; Pseudomonadota; Gammaproteobacteria; Pseudomonadales; Pseudomonadaceae.
AAACCACAAGGGGAGCCGAAGCUCCCCCAGAAUAGUUGCGUGCUCUAUUUUUAUUAUUGGUUUUGGGCUUCUUGUUUUUGUUGAUCGCCCUUGUCACCUGGUUUACCCAGUGUGACGCUCCCAAUCGGGAGCCAAGAGCAAACGGAUUGCUUUGAUCGCUGAGUUGCAAUGACCUUUCGAUCCAACCAGUUCAGGCUCUGCCUUAGGGCAGUU